RNAcentral lists this ribosomal RNA (254 nucleotides) under uncultured bacterium. RNAcentral's name for it is "partial 16S ribosomal RNA". It matches the Rfam family "Bacterial small subunit ribosomal RNA", at positions 524 to 776 of the family's 1533-position model. The record is from RNAcentral.
UACGUAGGGCGCAAGCGUUGUCCGGAAUUAUUGGGCGUAAAGAGCUCGUAGGCGGUCUGUCGCGUCUGCUGUGAAAACCUAGGGCUUAACUCUGGGCGUGCAGUGGGUACGGGCAGGCUAGAGUGCGGUAGGGGGAGACUGGAAUUCCUGGUGUAGCGGUGAAAUGCGCAGAUAUCAGGAGGAACACCGGUGGCGAAGGCGGGUCUCUGGGCCGUAACUGACGCUGAGGUGCGAAAGCGUGGGGAGCGAACAGG